RNAcentral lists this ribosomal RNA (479 nucleotides) under uncultured bacterium. RNAcentral describes it as "partial 16S ribosomal RNA". It matches the Rfam family "Bacterial small subunit ribosomal RNA", at positions 28 to 507 of the family's 1533-position model. The record is from RNAcentral.
GACGAACGCUAGCGGCAUGCCUAACACAUGCAAGUCGAGCGGUAGAGUUCGGUCGGGGACCUGAGAGGGGCGUACGGGUGCGUAACACGUGCGCAAGCUACCUUUAUCUGGGGGAGAGGGGUUCGAAUGGAAGAUUAAUACUCCAUACUAAAAAGAUCUGCAUCCAUUAUUAUUGAGAAUUCCAGUGGAUAGUGAUGGGCACGCGCAAGAUCAGACAGUUGGUUAGGUAGCGGCUCACCAAGUGAAUGAUCCUUAGGGGGCCUGAGAGGGAGAUCCCUGACACUGGUACAGAGACACGGACCAUACUCCUACGAGAGGCAGCAGUGAGGAAUCUUAGGCAAUAGGUGAGAGCCUGAUCCAGCCAUCCCGCGUGAAAGAUGACGGUCCUAUGAAUUGUAAGCUUCUUUUGGACAGGUAUAACCCUAUUCUCGGGAGAGUAACUGACGGUACUGUACGAAUAAGCACCGGCUAACUCCGUG